This 120-nucleotide ribosomal RNA is filed under the name Salmo salar (Atlantic salmon). Lineage: Eukaryota; Metazoa; Chordata; Actinopteri; Salmoniformes; Salmonidae. The record is from RNAcentral.
GCUUACGGCCAUAUCAGCCUGGGUACGCCCGAUCUCGUCUGAUCUCGGAAGCUAAGCAGGGUCGGGCCUGGCUAGUACUUGGAUGCGGAGACGGCCUGGGAAUACCAGGUGCUGUAAGCA